This is a long non-coding RNA of Coregonus clupeaformis (lake whitefish), 978 nucleotides long. RefSeq lists it as uncharacterized. The record is from RefSeq and is a predicted model, not a curated record. The transcript has 2 exons. NCBI's taxonomy places the organism in Eukaryota, Metazoa, Chordata, Actinopteri, Salmoniformes, Salmonidae.
CCGCACAGGCCAUAACAGACGGACUUGUGAGACUUUUGAUAUCGAAUGGAGACUGGGGCAAGACUGUGAUUGAGUACAGGACUCAGACGCCAGCCAGACUACCUAUCGUAGACUUGGCCCCCAUGGACAUAGGCAAGGAGGAUCAGGAAUUUGGCCUGGACAUCGGACCUGUGUGUUUCUCCUAAACCCAACACACAUGGAUGGAUUGAUUUCUUUAACCCUUUGAGGAGUGCAUUUUUUAGAACGCCAUCCUCAGUUCUCAGUUUAAAGAGGCAAUCUGGAUUUCAAACAUUCUUCAAGAAUCAAUGGCUAUAUAUCAUUCAUUUAAAAUAUUGCCCCUUUAAGAAUUAGGUUUCAGUUCAAUAACUAAUAAUGAUUAGACCCACCUGUUGUAUAAUGAACAACAACCCCUUGUGAUGUCAUCAAUUAGAAUCGGUUAGAAUGUUGUCGUCCAUUCUCCUCCAAAGGGUUAAUUAUUCCCAAGACUCUUGGACUACCUGCUGAAGCAAUCAGCGUUGUACAUAAAGGCCGGGCGGAGAAACAUGUCCUGCCUGCUACUAAAUUAUUUAUUGCAUUUUUCCAAGAUACAACUAAAGUUGUUAGUGCAAUGGUACUGGUAGCAAUUAUUAUUGAGGAAUGCAGGUGAAUUGUAUUAGAAGGUUAUUGUGACAUAAUGGAGUUUCAGGUCCUGAAGGUUUAAGCUUGUUGAAAACGUGACAAUUUAUGGAACUUAAGUUAUGAGUGUCAGUGUUGUAUGACGUUCCAUCAUACAGUUUCUCAGUGAAUGCCACUAAAUAGAUAUACUUUCACUUGAUGUUGAGACAAAACAACAACAAUUGUAUUCCUUUUUCAAAUGUAAAUGCAACAUAAGAAUGUAAAUUGCCCUUCACACGUUUAUUAUUCCUGUUUAUUGUUGAUAUUAUUAUAUUUUCUUCUUUCGACUGAUGGUGUUACACCCAAUAAAAUGAAUCUCAUGCC